GAAUUAUAAAACUACUCUUUUUUGAACAAAAUGACAUCCCUAUUAAAAAAAACAAGUUUGUAAAUGCCUAUGUCAGAUUUAAAAAAAUGAAAAGUUUAAUGAAUUCUUAUCUUUUAAACCAUUCCGAAAAAUCCUAUCUACUAAUCCUGUGAAUCUUCAACAAAAUCAAGUGAUAACUUUGUUACUAAAUUUGCUUUACACUUAAACGAGGGACGACACAUUAUAAUAAACUAUUCCAAGACACUUAAACACUAUGUAGGAGACCUGUGAAUGAUGAAACCCCAAUACAAUAAAAUGGACUAUCAUUUAAAAUCAAUAUGUCAAACAUCAAAUAAACAAAACAAUAAUAGUAUAGAAACAAAUGGAAUUAAAAAUAUUAAAGUGCAUGUAAAAUUGUUCAGACUAUAAACAUGUCCAAGAGCUAGGUAUUAGCAGUGAUGUAAAUACAAGAUAUACAGCCAUUCUCUUGAACAAUAUAUACA
Non-coding RNA from Cinara cedri, 482 nucleotides. Lineage: Eukaryota; Metazoa; Arthropoda; Insecta; Hemiptera; Aphididae. The record is from the annotation of a GenBank genome assembly.